RNAcentral lists this ribosomal RNA (501 nucleotides) under uncultured bacterium. Its description in RNAcentral is "bacterial SSU rRNA". It matches the Rfam family "Bacterial small subunit ribosomal RNA", at positions 29 to 518 of the family's 1533-position model. The record is from RNAcentral.
AUGAACGCUAGCUACAGGCUUAACACAUGCAAGUCGAGGGGCAGCAUGUGGUUGCUUGCAACCAAUGAUGGCGACCGGCGCACGGGUGAGUAACGCGUAUCCAACCUGGCCCGCAGUAGGGAACAGCCCGGCGAAAGUCGGAUUAAUGCCCUAUGUCUUCCUUUGCAGGCAUCCAAUGAGGAAGAAAGAUUUAUCGCUGCGGGAUGGGGAUGCGUCUGAUUAGCUUGUCGGCGGGGUAACGGCCCACCGAGGCGACGAUCAGUAGGGGUUCUGAGAGGAAGGUCCCCCACACUGGUACUGAGACACGGACCAGACUCCUACGGGAGGCAGCAGUGAGGAAUAUUGGUCAAUGGGCGAGAGCCUGAACCAGCCAAGUAGCGUGCAGGAACCGACUGCCCUAUGGGUUGUAAACUGCUUUUAUGCGGGGAUAAACUUCAGCACGUGUGCUGUUUUGCAGGUACCGCAUGAAUAAGGACCGGCUAAUUCCGUGCCAGCAGCCGC